RNAcentral lists this ribosomal RNA (564 nucleotides) under uncultured bacterium. Its description in RNAcentral is "bacterial SSU rRNA". It matches the Rfam family "Bacterial small subunit ribosomal RNA", at positions 960 to 1511 of the family's 1533-position model. The record is from RNAcentral.
CGCGAAGAACCUUACCAGGACUUGACAUGCUAGUAGUAGUGAUCCGAAAGGUGAGCCAUCCAGGCUUCGGCUUGGAAGCUAGCACAGGUGGUGCAUGGUUGUCGUCAGCUCGUGCCGUGAGGUGUCGGGUUAAGUCCUUUAACGAGCGCAACCCUUGUCCUUAGUUGCCAGCGGUUCGGCCGGGCACUCUAGGGAGACCGCCGCCUAAAAGCGGAGGAAGGUGGGGAUGACGUCAAAUCAUCACGCCCCUUAUGUCCUGGGCUACACACGUGCUACAAUGGCUAUGAUAAAGGGAAGCAAAGGAGCGGUCCUGAGCCAAUCCUCAAAAGUAGCCUCAGUUCGGAUUGUAGGCUGCAAUUCGCCUACAUGAAGUUGGAAUUGCUAGUAAUCGUGGAUCAGCUACGCCACGGUGAAUACGUUCUCAGCCCUUGUACACACCGCCCGUCACACCACCCGAGUUGGAUGCACCCGAAGAUAUUCAACCAACCUGCUUGCAGGAGGGAGAUUGUUGAAGGUGUGUUUGGCAAGGGGGAUGAAGUCGUAACAAGGUAACCUUAAUUAAAA